GCCCGCAUGGCGAAAUUGGCAAACGUUGCGGUCUCAGAAGCCGUUGGUGUAAUUACCUUGGGAGUUCGAGUCUCCCUGCGGGCA
Molecule: transfer RNA, 84 nt
Filed under: bacterium
Lineage: Bacteria
Also listed under: 1 other name
Description: tRNA-Leu
Rfam family: tRNA
About the family: Transfer RNA (tRNA) molecules are approximately 80 nucleotides in length.
Source: RNAcentral